AAACACAUGCGCUUCGGCAGGCGUCCUCCAGUGGGAGGUUGCUCAGGGGAUGGCGGAGCUGUGAAACUCGCAGCUAAAAGGAAAGUCUCAACGCUUAUUGUCUAAAUUUUGCUUUGUCGUGACCAGCUACCUAAACCCACGCAGAGGGAGAGCGCUUGUGACGCUACGAACCUCUUGAACACCUGAGGACUGGGCGCCAGGGCCUGAUGGAGGGUGGAGAGCCAGUGCGGCGCAGCUGCCUCCUCUCACGGGGACACCUAGCAGGAAUAUGCAGAGUGGAGCUAAAGGGAGCAGAUAGAAACCGAGAGAGGGGAAGAGCGCGCGAAGGCUUGGCCGGAAGGAGAGGUUAAAAAGGAAAGGCCUAAAAUGAGGAAGAGAGUUAACCGCAACAGGCAGUACCUAGUUCCAGUUCUUGGUCCCAGGAGUUUGUGGUUGCUGCUGCUUUCAUCUUCAGCCAAAACAAAAGGAAAGUGCCAAGGGGCGAUUCCUAGGACUUUCAGUGCAGUCUCCACCUCGCGGACUUGGCUCAUUUGUGUCCACUCCUUUCUCCCACGUUUUACACUUGAUGCUCUUGGAUGAAUAGAAAGGAGCACAAUUAAGGGAAAACACAAGCUUGGGAGUCAAGGGAUUUGGGUUCUAUUCUCGUUGUCCCUUGGUGACGACAUCAUUACCUUGGGUUAUUCAAGCUUUCAGUGCCAGAGUUCCUAUAUCAAUAAAAGAUUAUUACAUUGACCUCUUAGAGAAAUGUUUUCAUGGUACUGAAUUGCAAAUAAAGUAUGUGUAGCAAUGUGUUA
Non-coding RNA from Macaca mulatta (Rhesus monkey), 794 nucleotides. The record is from RefSeq and is a predicted model, not a curated record. Lineage: Eukaryota; Metazoa; Chordata; Mammalia; Primates; Cercopithecidae.